CCUCAUUUUCCAUCUUCCUUGCCGCCCCACUUUCUUCUUCAGUUCACCAUUGCCCAUCCUCCAUUAAAGCUUGCACUCAAGCUUUAUUCCUCCACUCAACCUUAAUAACUCCCUUAAAAACCUCCCUAGAACUUGUUAUUGCAACUCAAGAAGGAGAUUACAAGAAGAAAGAAGAGUUAAGAUAGGGUUUUGAAGCUUUGAGAAAGUGGAAAAGAAUACCGGGACAGAACCCGAGGAGUCGAGUCAAGGCCAACAGGCGACUCGUUUGAGAUACAGAGACUAGAGGAGCAGCAGACUGAGCUGCUGAGG
Molecule: long non-coding RNA, 309 nt
Organism: Hevea brasiliensis (rubber tree)
Lineage: Eukaryota; Viridiplantae; Streptophyta; Magnoliopsida; Malpighiales; Euphorbiaceae
Exons: 3
Source: RefSeq, a predicted model, not a curated record